This 2696-nucleotide long non-coding RNA is filed under the name Sus scrofa (pig). RNAcentral describes it as "lncRNA (ENSSSCG00065055602.1)". Lineage: Eukaryota; Metazoa; Chordata; Mammalia; Artiodactyla; Suidae. The record is from RNAcentral.
ACCUGCAGCAUAUGGAAGUUUCCGGGCUAGGGGUUCAAUCAGAGCUGCAGCUCCUGGCAUACGCCGCAGCCACAGCAACACCAGAUCCAAGCCACAUGUGCAACUUGCACCACAGCUGGUGGCAAUGCUGGAUCCUUAACUUACUGAGCGAGGCCAGGGAUUGAACUGAAAUCCUCAUGGAUACGAGUCAGGUUCUUAACCCACUGAGCGACAACAGGAGCUCUGCAUUAUGAAUGCUUAUGAGUUGUCUUUACUUCUUUCUCUCUCUCUUUUUUCGCCUGGCACCAUUUUUUUUUAUUAGCUUCUCAACCAUCAUCUGGCAAGAAAACAUUCUAGAAUAACGUCAUUAAAAAUGGCUCUGAUAAAGCACAGUCACUGCUACAUAUCAUAAAGCAGGUACAAGAUAUGUCACAUUCUCAGAGGUAUGAAACAGUACUGUCCUACAUCUAUAAUACUAGAGGAUAUACUUAAAAAGGGAUUAUUCGAGACUUGAUUCUACUUUUCCAGCAGAGAGCCCAAAGGAUGCUUAUGACACAGCUCUGUACAGAAAUGCAUCUUCUUAGAUAGAAUUUCCUUUCUUUAGUGGCACAGCUCUAGGUACUCACUGCUCUUCAUGAACAUCAGCUAAAAACUGUUUUAAAAAUAAACAAAAACCCACCAUUGGAUGCGUACAAAGAUGACUCUGUAGAGGCAAGCAAGGCUCAGGUAACCUAACUAGUAUUUGCCCAGCUCUGUUGUUUCUGAAUCUUUCUUUUUUUAAUGCCAAACUUGUUUGAUACGCAUAUCAGUUGAGUAAAAAACCCUUUCUCGCAGAAUCUGGUGAACGAUGAGCACUUGGAAAGGCCUGUAGGGUCACGAGGUGACCAACAGGAGUUGUUCUGGGUGGGCAUCCUGUCAGAUAGACUUGCCACCCACCACGUUUCCAGCUAUUGGGAGUGGGUCCCUCCCUCCCUCCCUGCGCUCGCAGAGCAGCCUGGAGCACCCUAUGCUAGCAGUGUUCUUUCCACACAUUAAUUCUUUUUAUUUAUUUAUUUAUUUUGUCUUUUGUCCUUUUAGGGCCACACCCGUGGCAUAUGGAGGUACCCAGGCUAGGGGUCUAAUCAGAGCUGCUGGCCUACACCACAGCCACAGCAACACCAGAUUCAAGGUGCAUCUUUGACCUACACCACAGCUCACGGCAACGCCGGACCCUUAACCCACUGAGCGAGGCCAGGGCUCGAACCCACAACCUUGUGGUUCCUAGUCGGAUUCGUUUCCAAUGCACCAUGACAGGAAGUCCCUCUGCAUGUUACUUCUUGAUACACAUCACUUCCUCCCAACCCCCUUAACUACCCUAUGAGUUAUUCAUUGACCUUUUCAUCUUUAAACAUGUUCAGCCUGUCACAGGGUAGGUUCUCAAUGAAUUUUUGUUGAAACAGGGCAAUUAGGACUCAAAAUUAUUUUAUUGAGAACUUGAAAAACAUUUCUUUUGUUUGUUUGUUUGUUUUUUGUCUUUUUGCUAUUUCUUGGGCCGCUCCUGCAGCAUAUGGAGGUUCCAGGCUAGGGGUCGAAUCGGAGCUGUAGCUGCCCGCCUACGCCAGAGCCACAGCAACGCGGGAUCCGAGCCGCGUCUGCAACCUACACCACAGCUCACGGCAACACCGGAUCGUUAACCCACUGAGCAAGGGCAGGGACCGAACCCGCAACCUCAUGGUUCCUAGUCGGAUUCAUUAACCACUGCGCCACGACGGGAACUUGAAAAAACAUUUCUCUAAGAAAAACAUUACAAAUUGUACUGCAUUACAAGAUGAAUCUGUUAAACGCCUAUCUAACCUCAAUUACUUUUCAUCAUAUGCACGCAAUAAAAAUAGAAAAUACUUAUUUCCAUCAAAUUAAACCAAAGAUUAUAAAGUUAGAAAUAAUCUUGUUUUGAUCUUGAAAGCUAACACCUGAGAAAAAUUUAUCUGAUAAGAGGAAACAGUGAUGGGAGAAUCAUGGAAACCCAAUGACAAUGACCCUUAUAAAAUAUGCAAUGAAGGCGGACAGCUUUACAGAGAUUCCAAAGGGGACUUCUGGUGGUUUAAAGAAUGAGUGUCCCUUUUUUUUUUUUUUUUUUUUGGUUCCUACUGCAUCAAAACCUCUGGCUUUCCUAUUUCUUCUUAUAUAUAUGGUAUUAGAAAUAUGUCCAUAUAGACAGCCCCCACAAUGGCCUUUCUUUUGAGGGUGGGUUAAGGUGCUCGCCAAGAGGAUGGAGUGGCCUGAGACAGAGGAGCGCUUUCUUUCAGUAACUGGGGCCACACUGGAAAUGGGAAGGGACGACAGAAAGGCUAGAGAGACGUGUGCCCACGUGAGGAGGAGUACUCCUCGAUGCAGAGUUACUCCUUUGCUUCUGUGAGUGAGGGAGAGAGAAGGUGGUUUGAGAACCCUGCCUGUGAACAAGGUCCCCGAAGGAGAAAUGAUGACCCAGUGACACGGCUGCCCACAGUGUGGGGACGUUUACUCGCAGGGGAAGGAGAGCAGGCACCACUGCUUGGUCUUAUGCUUGAGACACACGCCAUUCCUGCUGUGGUGCAGUGGGUUAGGAAUCCGACUGCAGCGGCCUGGGUGGCCGCAGAGGUGUGGGUUUUAUCCCCAGCCCAGCACAAUGGGUUACAGGAUCUGGUGGUACUGCAGCUGUGGCUCAGAUUCAGUCCCUGGCCCGGGAACUUCCAAAUGCU